This 358-nucleotide ribosomal RNA is filed under the name Epiperipatus sp. UNACHI. Its description in RNAcentral is "partial 16S ribosomal RNA". The stretch from base 234 to 358 matches the Rfam family "Bacterial large subunit ribosomal RNA", at positions 2473 to 2598 of the family's 2925-position model. Lineage: Eukaryota; Metazoa; Onychophora; Udeonychophora; Euonychophora; Peripatidae. RNAcentral also lists the same sequence under 3 other names. The record is from RNAcentral.
UCUUAUAAAUUAAGACUGGAAUGAAUGGAUAUAUGGGGCAAUACUUUCUUAAAUCAAUAGAUAAAAAUAAAUUUUUUAGUGAAGAAGCUAAAAUUUUUUUGAGGGACGAGAAGACCCUAUUAAGCUUUAUAUAAUUAUUUUGUUGGGGAAACAAAAGGAUAAAAUUCCUUUGAAAAAUUUUUUUGAUAAAAAUUGAUUUAUUUAUUAAUGAUAAUAGAAUAAGUUACUAUAGGGAUAACAGCAUAAUUUUUUUUAAAAGUUCAUAUUGACAAAAAAGAUUAUGACCUCGAUGUUGGAUUAAAAUUAUUAUAUGAUGCAGUUGUUGUAUAAAUUAGUCUGUUCGACUAUUAAAAUUUUA